This 348-nucleotide long non-coding RNA is filed under the name Prunus dulcis (almond). RNAcentral's name for it is "sRNA ncRNA". The record is from RNAcentral. Lineage: Eukaryota; Viridiplantae; Streptophyta; Magnoliopsida; Rosales; Rosaceae.
AUGGAUGACAUACAAGAAGGUAUCACAAAAAGGAUGCAGGAAUUGAAAUCUGAAGCGAUGACACACUGUUUUCCUCGAGAAAUCAUACAUGAGAUACUAUUUAGGCUACCCGUUAAAUCUGUAAUCAAUUGCACCUCAGUGUGCAAGUCAUGGAGGUCCAUGAUCAUGAACAAAACCUUUAUUCGCGGCUACCUCAGCCCAAUUAAUAACUUGAACGACAAUCACCUCUUCCUAAUCCACAGGGUUGCUGGUAGGGAGGGCUGCAUUAUGCUACACAGAGCCAUCGUCCACGAUGUAAUAGAAGAGUGCAUUAUGAUAACUAGGCUUUCGAGGAGUACUCCAAGGUAG